CGCGGGCGGCCUCGGGGCUGCGGUGCGUCCCUGCAUCUGCACCGCGCGUCCGUAUGCGGCCCUCUGCCUUCAUCCGUGUAUCUGUAUGCAGUCCUGUACCUCCUCUAUUCACCCCCGUACCUCCUCUGUUUAGCCCUCUAUAUUCCCUCCCGUGUCUGUAUUCCCCCCGUGUCGAUAUUCCUCCCGUGCCUUCUGCAUCCUCCCCUCUUUGCCCCUCCGUCUGCAAGCAGCCCUUUAUCUGUGUACCCACCCUGUGCGGCCCUUUUGCCCCUGUUCUCCCAUCCCUGUGUCACCCUCUGCCCCCCCACUUUCUGGAGGCACUCCGGGCACCGUCUCUUUCUGGAAUUUUCCAAAAUCCAGGAGGAACGGAACGCUCCCUCCUUCCCUGCCACCAGCAAUCCCCGCUGUCCCUGCCCAGCGCUGUGCUUCGCAGGUGUCACUGGCAGGGAGCUGACAGCAUAGACAGGCGGUGGGAGCCACAUCCCAUAGCGGCGAUGGCAGAGGUUUGCUUCGCCUCGCCUCGCUCCUGGCCCUGCUUUUCUCUGCCGGUCUGCGAGGCUUUGGUGCGGGCUGCAUGGGGCUGGCAGAACCGAGCAGUGUGACACACGGCCCAUCAGCUUUUGUCCCCUGGUCCGCCGACUCGGCGCGAUGCUGGUGGUGCAGCGGUGAGGAUGGGGUGUUGGAUUAACAACCCGCGGGCAGGCACUGCGCCUGUGUUCCAUGCCGAUUUGUGGCAGCCUCAGCUGCCGUCUCUCACGCUGAAACUGAGCUUCCAUCUCUCACGUUCUGCCGAACACCUAAAUGUCAUUUUCCUGAGUUAUCGUGGCCAUUUUGGUGAGCAUUCAGCCCUUUUGCAAGAAAACCUCUGAGAAUGUCAAGCAUGCGAGGUCAGGCGCCUGGGAAACAUGAAACCCGGGGUUACCUGUGCAGCCUCAGCGCUGCCCAUUUCGAGGUGCGGCUGCACCGGUGCUUCUCAUUGCCUGCCUGUGGAUUUCCCCAGGGAUGGUCUCCAGCUCCCCAGGAUCCCGGUAGGGAUCCUCCGACUCACCAGGGAGUCAACAGGGGGAGUGCUGUGAGCACAGGGAAGCACCACUUCUCAUCCCCUGCACUGCUCCCACUGCCUGGCACCGCACCCACUGAGGAGCAGGGCCAGCCCUUGCAGCUCUGAGACCACCCCAUCUUCCUGAAGUUUUAGCUGCCAGGUGUUAGAAAAGCAUUCAUUUUGCAGUGAGUGCAAUCCGAAAGCCGUUUGUUGGGUUUGGAGUGGUGUUUUCUCAGUGGGCACAGCGAAAAGCGCGUGUCUGGUUAGGAGGAUGACUUCUGGCAAGGUCUUGUACUUGUCCAAACCGUUGGGUGUAAUUGCUGUAAAUGUACAUUUAUCAGGGGGAAGGAGCAUUGUUGAGCCUUGCUGUUGAAGCAUCCUAGCUGGUUUGAUGGGAUUUAUAGAUUCUUGCUCCCAGCUCUUUUAUAACUAACACAGAAUUGCAGCUCCUUAUGCAUAUGAAGCCCUCGAGCAGCGCUGUCGUGAACCGAGUGCUGCAGGAGGGCUGCUGGCUGCUGCAGGAGCCCAGGAGCUGCUUGGGGGGCUGGGCUGUCCACUGUCAGGCCGACAGCAGUGAGUAGUGCUGCUGGUGGGUCAGGGCUGGACUCGGUGUCAGGAGCUCUUAUCGUGGAGGUUUAAAAGAGCUGCCUGAUUUUCUCAGGCUGCGGUCCUGCAUGCCUACAUUUGCCUAACUCCCUCUUAAGCAAACGGGAUUUCUCUCUUUUCUGAAAGUAAAUGUGGCUUAAAGUUUGCAAAUUUGAUACUUUCUCAAGCAUUCCUUCAGGCAAGAGCAGGAUAAUGAGAGAUUUUUGCCUGUGUCUGGAAGGCUCCUGGCUCCGAGGAGCAGCCCGCGGGUUGCUGCACUUCCUGCUACGUGUUGGCGUUUGCAGACGCUGUGCUGCGCUCUCAGGUUCGGUGGCUGUGAUGGCUGUGAGGGGGAAUGCAGAGCAUCACCGCUGUGUCCCCACUGGGGCUGCGACUGCAGAUGUUUGUUUGGCUGCUUGUAAAAUUUGUCUGUAGGUUUGGGUAGGUGUUUGGAAGCACAGGUGUCCGGGACUUAGCUGUGUAAACUGUGAGACUCCUGACAGAUGAUGAUAAAAAGGGAAAUGCUAUAGGUUUUGCUUUCUCUGCUGGACUGAGUAUUGUCUUGUAUUGCUGCUGUGUUUGGCAGGCCGAGCAUCACGGUGUUACGUUUCUUGCUUGUGUGAUUGCAGUGAGUGCUUUAACUUCUGUACCUGGGAAGUCAAAAAUCUAAAAGUAAGCUCAGCAAACCGCACAUCCUCAGAAAACAUUCCAAAAGAGAACGUCUCCUGGCAGAAAGUAGUCUUUAGCACUGAACUGAUUGCUCUGUCUUCAAAUGCCAGCUCUGUUAGCUGUCCGCAGGGAGGAAUCACCUAGCAGGUACCUAUGGAAAGCUCUUACAGCCUGAGCGAAGCCUUUGAAAUGGAAUGGGACGAGUGCUGCAAGAUGAGAAAGCCUUUACUCAUGUUAAAAACAGCAACAACAACAAAGAAAAAUAUCUAUGGACUUCUCUGUCAGUUAUGAAUCUCAUUGCUGAUUUCUCACCUUGAAUCACAUCUGGUGCACUGCAAAAUGACCUGUGCGCACUGUAGAGUCGCUCCCUCUCUGGAUGCCUGUUUGCAGUCUGUGCUUCUAUCUGUCAAGCACAGGUAUGUAGACUGGAAUACAACCCUCAAUAACAGUGACAUUUUUAGUUUUGCAAGACUUGUCUGAGGCACCUGUGGAAGUCGGGGUUACAGCUGAGGGAGAAGUUUCAUGCAGCUGUUGUUGUGUGAAGGAUGGCCCUGAUGGCAGCUCUCUGGUGCUGAAUAUGGACAGCUUGCAAUUAUACAUGAAAAACUCAUCUAAGCCUCAAGUUAAAAGUAGCUCUGUGUCUGAUGCUUGGUGGGAAGAUUGCAAUCUUGUCUCUUGCAUUAUGUUUAUUUCUAGUAAAAGUGAAAUCCUUGAAGGAGUGCUUCUUCAUUCAAAUAAAAAGGGGCUUUUGAAAUUAACACUCAACACGUAGAUGUGGAUUUAAAUUGUUUUGGGUGCAGUUUUUCUGUGUGCUUUAUGAGUUGAAUCUACUUGAGCAGGGACUCAAAAAGCUUUUGGAGACUUUUGAUCUGGGAUGACUUUCUCUCCUUCUGUGCCGGUUUUCUGGGGGCAUUAGGAUAUGUGCUUCUCUUGCAGGUAUGCUGUUUGGGGGCAGAGGGGACAAGUAUUUGAAAAACGUGAACAAUUUUCCCUGAGUGAAGGAUCAUUACAGCUUUAGAUCCCGCUGUUAUUAAUGACACUCCUGUCAGCUACGAUUUAAUUUUCUUAAUGUCAGAAUUCCUUCUUGCACAAUACGCUUUUCUACAUCUUGAUAUAACCUUUUCUCAGAGCCCUUGAGCUUCUUGAUGUCUGGAGACAUGGUGUGUCCAACAAGACUCUGUGGGAUGAGCAGGAGGAGUGACCAUUGCAGUGAAGUCAUACCAGUGUUCCCAUUGUAAAACAUCAUUUUCAGCUGCAUGGGGAUGUUGGAGUCGAUUUUAAGAUGGGGCUGAACGUAUGCUUUCAAUGAAUAAGGAGUUCUUUUCAUAGACUCACAGAAUGGCUUGGGUUGGAAGGGACCUCAAGGAUC
Molecule: non-coding RNA, 3665 nt
Organism: Meleagris gallopavo (turkey)
Lineage: Eukaryota; Metazoa; Chordata; Aves; Galliformes; Phasianidae
Source: RefSeq, a predicted model, not a curated record